Molecule: ribosomal RNA, 435 nt
Filed under: uncultured bacterium
Lineage: Bacteria
Description: partial 16S ribosomal RNA
Rfam family: Bacterial small subunit ribosomal RNA
Source: RNAcentral
GAUGAACGCUGGCGGUAUGCUUAACACAUGCAAGUCGAACGGACUCUUCGGAGUUAGUGGCGGACGGGUGAGUAACGCGUGAGAAUCUGGCUUUGGGUUCGGGACAACCACUGGAAAGGGUGGCUAAUACCGGAUGUGCCGAGAGGUAAAAGAGAAAUUGCCUGAAGAUGAGCUCGCGUCUGAUUAGCUAGUUGGUGAGGUAAAGGCUCACCAAGGCAGCGAUCAGUAGCUGGUCUGAGAGGAUGACCAGCCACACGGGGACUGAGACACGGCCCAGACCCCUACGGGAGGCAGCAGGGGGGAAUUUUCCGCAAGGGGCGAAAGCCUGACGGAGCAAUACCGCGUGAGAGAAGAAGGCUCUUGGGUUGUAAACCUCUUUUCUUAGGGAAGAACAAAAUGACGGUACCUAAGGAAUCAGCAUCGGCUAACUCCGUG